Molecule: ribosomal RNA, 777 nt
Filed under: uncultured bacterium
Lineage: Bacteria
Description: bacterial SSU rRNA
Rfam family: Bacterial small subunit ribosomal RNA
Source: RNAcentral
AGAGUUUGAUCCUGGCUCAGGACGAACGCUGGCGGCGUGCCUAACACAUGCAAGUCGAGCGAUGAAACCCUUCGGGGUGGAUUAGCGGCGGACGGGUGAGUAACACGUGGGUAACCUGCCUCAAAGAGGGGAAUAGCCUCCCGAAAGGGAGAUUAAUACCGCAUAAUAUGUUUUGAUCGCAUGAUCGAGACAUCAAAGGAUUCUCUUUAGAGUUUCCACUUUGAGAUGGACCCGCGGCGCAUUAGCUAGUUGGUGAGGUAACGGCCCACCAAGGCAACGAUGCGUAGCCGACCUGAGAGGGUGAUCGGCCACAUUGGAACUGAGACACGGUCCAGACUCCUACGGGAGGCAGCAGUGGGGAAUAUUGCGCAAUGGGGGAAACCCUGACGCAGCAACGCCGCGUGAAUGAUGAAGGCCUUCGGGUUGUAAAGUUCUGUCUUCUGGGACGAUAAUGACGGUACCAGAGGAGGAAGCCACGGCUAACUACGUGCCAGCAGCCGCGGUAAUACGUAGGUGGCAAGCGUUGUCCGGAUUUACUGGGCGUAAAGGAUGCGUAGGCGGACAUUUAAGUCAGAUGUGAAAUACCCGAGCUUAACUUGGGUGCUGCAUUUGAAACUGGGUGUCUAGAGUGCAGGAGAGGUAAGUGGAAUUCCUAGUGUAGCGGUGAAAUGCGUAGAGAUUAGGAAGAACACCAGUGGCGAAGGCGACUUUACUGGACUGUAACUGACGCUGAGGCAUGAAAGCGUGGGGAGCAAACAGGAUUAGAUACCCUGGUAG